CUGUGUCAGGCCCCGGGGGGACGGAGCCGCAGCAAAGACCCCCGAGCUUGGAGCUUCAGAGGGGCCCUCCCCUCUCUGCCGGCAUGAAUGUAAACAAAGGAAGAGGGCCCGCGUGAGCGCUUCUGCAGCAAGUCCUGGUGCUGAUCAGGCCGGGGCAAAUCCAAUUAGCCGCCGGCCUCCCCCCCGAACCUUAUUAACCUGCUCAGCUGGGAGAAGCUCCCGGCCGCCAAUAUCUCAUUUCCCCCGCGGCUGAUACCAUCAGCGGCGGGCCGGCCACGGGUGUGCGCACGCCCCGCUCCCAGCCACGGGCCCCGCGGCCGCCGUGGCCGCGUCUCAUUUCCCCGACAUGAAAUAGGCCGGCUGCUGCAAGGCCUCGAGAGCAGGCCGGAACAAACACGGCCUGAUCCCCCUUAUCACGGCCGCCCCACAAAGGGGGCCAGGCCGCGUGAUUAGCAUUCCUCCGCGGCGCGGCGGCGGGCCCAUUUCUGUCACACAGACAGAUUGAGCCUUUCACUCAGCCACGCGAGUGAGUGACACAUGGCCCGACCCGGAGGACAACAUUGUUAUUUGAGUUAAGAAAUCAAUUUGUAUCAAAUGUACGCUGUAAUUUAUUUGUUGGCUUUGAAGGGAAGGGAGCCGAGAUAAAUGGGCCCGGGCUCUUUCUUUCCCCCUCUGCCACACUGAUAAAGUCCUUGUGAGGCCCAGAUGGCUGAAGUCACAGGCACAGUGACAAGCGUGUUUAAAGGUGCACACUGAUCUCUAAAUCUCAAAAAGAACACCUUGUCGGACAUGAUAGAACAUUUUUUACCUUUUCCCUCUAUCUGUCAGAAAGCCGCUGUGACACAUUGCUUUAGUAUUUUUGCUGACAUUUUCUUUAUCAAGCACAUCUGUUUGUGGUCCAAAGAUGCUCAUUCCUAUUUCUUCCAUCUGCAGCGGGCGGAGGAGCCGCCGGGAGGCGGGGAGGGAAGCGGCGCCACGGCCCCGCGGUGCGCUGGCUCCUGAGGCCCCGGGUCCCCUCGGCCGGGCCGGCCUUGUGCCGCUGGGCAUGCUGGGCCCGUCCCCUUCCUCCUCCUCCUCCUCCUCCUCCUCCUCCUCCUCCUCCUCGUGCUACAUGUCGUCCUCCGCGUCUUCGGCCCAUCUCCGGGAGCCGGCGCCGCUCCUGGCACUCUUGUUUAUUUGGAGCAAACUCUAAGCAUGGCUGCAGCGAGCUCUGAGCCGCGAUGGCGAGUCGCAGAAGGGCAGCUCCGGGGUGAUCGGAGACCACCGAACGCGAGGAAUCUGAUCACAGAGGGAGACUUCAGCAGCAGGACAGAAGAGCGAGCGCCACCGUCUCUGUCACCGUAACUGCGUCUCGACCUUCCUGGAUAGCAGAUGGCACAAGAUGACACUUGCUAACCAAACUAUUGACUGGCAGCACCAGCAUGGCCACUUGACAGUAGAUGAACAACACGGGUACGUGCCGAAGGUGAACGUGCGUCUUUGGGUCUUAGCCAUCGCUUCUACGUAAGCAUGGAAGUUAUAGGACGUCUUAGUGGUCUACUACAUGGUAAUGGCAUAGUGAAUUAGAUGCAGCCGAUGAAAUGCUUCCUUGAAACGCGAGAUGUGCUGCUGAGUUCACGGCUCCAGCACGUUUGUCAAACUCCGAACUAAAAUAAUUCAGUUAAAAAUUCAAGCUUUGGGGCCGGCGCUGUUGCUUAGGGAGUUAAGCUGCUGCCUGUGACUCCAGCAUCCAUAUGGCUGCUCCACCUCCGACCCAGCUCCCUGCUAACGCACCUGGGAAAGCAGCAGAAGUCGGCCCAAGUGCUUCGGCCCCUGCACCCAUGUGGGAGACCCAGCUGAAAUUCCUGGCUCCUGGCCUCAGCCUGGCCCAACCCUGACCAUUACAGCCUUUUAGGGAGUGAACCAGUGGAUGGAAGACCUCUCUCUCUCCCCAUCCCCACCCAUAACCAUGCCUUUCAAAUACAAAUAAACACAACCUUUAAAAAAUGCA
This is a long non-coding RNA of Oryctolagus cuniculus (rabbit), 1990 nucleotides long. The record is from Ensembl. NCBI's taxonomy places the organism in Eukaryota, Metazoa, Chordata, Mammalia, Lagomorpha, Leporidae.